CUCAGAACGAACGCUGGCGGCGUGGAUAAGACAUGCAAGUCGAACGCUGACUGCCGGGUAGCAAUAUUUGGCAGUUCUAGUGGCGAAAGGGUGCGUAACACGUGGGUAAUUUGCCUUAAAGUUGGGGAUAACUUGCCGAAAGGUGAGCUAAUACCGAAUGUGGUCUCUCGGCGGCAUCACCGAGAGUCUAAAGCUGGGGAUCUUCGGACCUGGCGCUUUAAGAUAAGCCCGCGGCCUAUCAGCUUGUUGGUGAGGUAAAAGCUCACCAAGGCGACGACGGGUAGCUGGUCUGAGAGGACGAUCAGCCACACUGGAACUGAGACACGGUCCAGACACCUACGGGUGGCAGCAGUCGAGAAUCUUUCACAAUGGGCGAAAGCCUGAUGGAGCGACGCCGCGUGGGGGAUGAAGGUCUUCGGAUCGUAAACCCCUGUCAUCUGUGAGCAAUGCCUUUCACUUAAUAGCUGAAAGGUUUGAUAGAGCAGAAGAGGAAGGGACGGCUAACUCCGUGCCAGCAGCCGCGGUAAUACGGAGGUCCCAAGCGUUGUUCGGAUUCACUGGGCGUAAAGGGUGCGUAGGUGGUCGAGAUAGUUUGAUGUGAAAGCUCCGGGCUCAACCCGGAAAAUGCAUUGAAUACUACUCGACUAGAGGAUUGUAAGGGUGUCUGGAAUUCACGGUGUAGCAGUGAAAUGCGUAGAGAUCGUGAGGAACACUAGUGGCGAAGGCGAGUCUCUGGACGAUUUCCUGACACUGAGGCACGAAGGCUAGGGGAGCAAACAGGAUUAGAUACCCUGGUAGUCCUAGCAGUAAACGGUGUGCGUUUGCUGGUGGGCGGAUUUGGCCCCUUCCGUGCCGAAGCUAACGCGAUAAACGUGCCGCCUGGGGAGUACGGUCGCAAGAUUAAAACUCAAAGAAAUUGACGGGGGCCUGCACAAGCGGUGGAGUAUGUGGCUUAAUUCGAUGCAACGCGAAGAACCUUACCUGGCCUUGACAUGCAAGUAUUAGGAACCUGAAAGGGUAACGAGGUCGCAAGACCAGCUUGCACAGGUGCUGCAUGGCUGUCGUCAGCUCGUGUCGUGAGAUGUUGGGUUAAGUCCCGCAACGAGCGCAACCCCUGUGUUCUGUUGCCACUCCCGCGUAAGCGGGAAGCACUCUGGACAGACUGCCUCAUUUAAAUGAGGAGGAAGGUGGGGAUGACGUCAAGUCAGUAUGGCCCUUACGGCCAGGGCUGCACACGUACUACAAUGCCUGGUACAACGGGAAGCAAGACCGCAAGGUGGAGCAAAUCCCUUAAAACCAGGCCCAGUUCGGAUUGUCGUCUGCAACUCGACGGCAUGAAGCCGGAAUCGCUAGUAAUGGCGCAUCAGCUACGGCGCCGUGAAUACGUUCCCAGGCCUUGUACACACCGCCCGUCACAUCAUGAAAGUCAGUUGUACCCGAAGUCACUGAGCCAACCGCAAGGGGGCAGGUGCCGAAGGUAUGGCUGGUGAUUGGGAUGAAGUCGUAACAAGGUAACC
RNAcentral lists this ribosomal RNA (1517 nucleotides) under uncultured prokaryote. RNAcentral's name for it is "partial 16S ribosomal RNA". It matches the Rfam family "Bacterial small subunit ribosomal RNA". The record is from RNAcentral.